GUCCACGCUGUAAACGUUGGACACUAGGUGUGGCGGUCUGAUCAACGACUGCCGUGCCGAAGCUAACGCAUUAAGUGUCCCGCCUGGGGAGUACGGCCGCAAGGCUAAAACUCAAAGGAAUUGACGGGUCCCCGCACAAGCGGCGGAGCAUGCGGCUUAAUUCGAUGCAACCCGAAGAACCUUACCUGGGUUUGACAUCAUGGGAAAAGCCGUGGAAACACGGUGUCCGAAAGGGCCCAUGACAGGUGGUGCAUGGCUGUCGU
Molecule: ribosomal RNA, 263 nt
Filed under: uncultured bacterium
Lineage: Bacteria
Description: partial 16S ribosomal RNA
Rfam family: Bacterial small subunit ribosomal RNA
Source: RNAcentral